This 69-nucleotide transfer RNA is filed under the name Ictidomys tridecemlineatus (thirteen-lined ground squirrel). RNAcentral describes it as "Spermophilus tridecemlineatus (thirteen-lined ground squirrel) tRNA". It matches the Rfam family "tRNA". From Rfam's summary of the family: Transfer RNA (tRNA) molecules are approximately 80 nucleotides in length. Their secondary structure includes four short double-helical elements and three loops (D, anti-codon, and T loops). The record is from Rfam by way of RNAcentral. Lineage: Eukaryota; Metazoa; Chordata; Mammalia; Rodentia; Sciuridae.
GGGGUUGUGGCUCAGUGGUAGAGUGCUUGCCUCACAUGUGUGAGGCACUGGGUUCAAUCCCCAGCACCA